Molecule: antisense RNA, 75 nt
Filed under: Streptomyces malaysiensis
Lineage: Bacteria; Bacillati; Actinomycetota; Actinomycetes; Kitasatosporales; Streptomycetaceae
Description: ASpks TB sRNA
Rfam family: ASpks TB sRNA
Source: Rfam by way of RNAcentral
CUUCGCCGAGCCCAGCCACAGCGGCCGGCCCUCGGGCCGGUCCUGGCCGUAGGUGGCGAGCAGCGCCUGUGCCUC